Molecule: transfer RNA, 77 nt
Filed under: Aeromonas jandaei
Lineage: Bacteria; Pseudomonadati; Pseudomonadota; Gammaproteobacteria; Aeromonadales; Aeromonadaceae
Also listed under: 5 other names
Description: tRNA-Ile
Rfam family: tRNA
About the family: Transfer RNA (tRNA) molecules are approximately 80 nucleotides in length. Their secondary structure includes four short double-helical elements and three loops (D, anti-codon, and T loops). Further hydrogen bonds mediate the characteristic L-shaped molecular structure. tRNAs have two regions of fundamental functional importance: the anti-codon, which is responsible for specific mRNA codon recognition, and the 3' end, to which the tRNAs corresponding amino acid is attached (by aminoacyl-tRNA synthetases). tRNAs cope with the degeneracy of the genetic code in two manners: having more than one tRNA (with a specific anti-codon) for a particular amino acid; and 'wobble' base-pairing, i.e. permitting non-standard base-pairing at the 3rd anti-codon position.
Source: RNAcentral
GGGCCUAUAGCUCAGUUGGUUAGAGCAGAGGACUCAUAAUCCUUUGGUCGCAGGUUCGAAUCCUGCUGGGCCCACCA